Long non-coding RNA from Macrosteles quadrilineatus (aster leafhopper), 519 nucleotides. RefSeq lists it as uncharacterized. Lineage: Eukaryota; Metazoa; Arthropoda; Insecta; Hemiptera; Cicadellidae. The record is from RefSeq and is a predicted model, not a curated record. The transcript is spliced from 4 exons.
AGCCGACACCGUUAUGACGUCAUCAACUUUACUUUUUUUUAGGCUUGGCUUGAUGUUUUGUUGAUGUUGAUACAUCGAUCGGUGCAGCAGAAGACAAGAGUUGCAAUUCCUUGAAGGUGGCUCAACAAAAUGCAAGGCAUCAAAAGUAACAUCUGAUCAGUACGGUUCAAGAAGAAACGAGUGUUGAAUUCUGAUCUUUGUUUUAAAUCAAGAUUACCUUAUUUGACUCAUGCAUCUUCGGCUAAAGCGACAGACCCUGAAUUAGAGGCAGUUAAUCAAAGACUGGCUCGGACAAGCCAAAUCAAGAGGUCUGAGCCAAAUAAAAGGAACAAAUGGGACAAUAUUCCUGGUUCUGGAGCCAAGCAACACCCAACACUUGGAAACAAAGACCAAGAAUAGUUAUUUUUAAUUUAAUUUAACAAUUUAUUCUUUUACUUUACAAAAUUAACACCUACAUUUUAAAAGCUAGCUUUGGAAAAUAAAUAUGUGUGUUUUAUAAAUAAAACUAUAUUUCAACAA